Molecule: unclassified non-coding RNA, 23 nt
Filed under: Chlamydomonas reinhardtii
Lineage: Eukaryota; Viridiplantae; Chlorophyta; Chlorophyceae; Chlamydomonadales; Chlamydomonadaceae
Description: small RNA Cre_0992
Source: RNAcentral
CAUGUGCCCUUACUUAGGCGGCC